UCCAAAGGGCAUAAAUGUGUAGAUUUUGGG
Molecule: non-coding RNA, 30 nt
Filed under: Rattus norvegicus (Norway rat)
Lineage: Eukaryota; Metazoa; Chordata; Mammalia; Rodentia; Muridae
Source: RNAcentral